RNAcentral lists this ribosomal RNA (218 nucleotides) under uncultured bacterium. RNAcentral describes it as "partial 16S ribosomal RNA". It matches the Rfam family "Bacterial small subunit ribosomal RNA", at positions 18 to 232 of the family's 1533-position model. The record is from RNAcentral.
CCUGGCUCAGAUUGAACGCUGGCGGCAUGCCUAACACAUGCAAGUCGAUCGGCAGCACGGUCUAGUUUACUAGAUGGGUGGCGAGUGGCGGACGGGUGAGUAAUGCGCAGGAAUAUACCUUAAAGAGGGGGAUAACUUGGGGAAACUCAAGCUAAUACCGCAUAAUCUCUGAGGAGAGAAGCUGGGGACCUUCGGGCCUGGCGCUUUAAGAUUAGCCU